Molecule: long non-coding RNA, 324 nt
Organism: Sceloporus undulatus (fence lizard)
Lineage: Eukaryota; Metazoa; Chordata; Lepidosauria; Squamata; Phrynosomatidae
Exons: 3
Source: RefSeq, a predicted model, not a curated record
GCCUGUUCUUCAAUGAAGAUGAUCUGUGAAAGAGGAAUAGCCAUACAAGAUUCCUAGAUGGAAAAAACAGAGAACAAAAUCAAGACAUAUUUUGCCAAGUGUGGCCCUCCCAAAGUUGGCAGACUGCAAUUCCCAGCAUCCACAGCCAGCACAGCCAAUGAUCUUCUUCACAGCUGCAGAUGUGAAAUUUUGUGAUGAUGAAUUAUCUAACUCAUGACUAACUCAGAAUGUGAUUCCAGGUCUAUUGCUCUUGUGGUUGUUCUACUCAUAAUUUUACAAAUCCAUCUAUUUAAAAAGAUUAUAUAUUCACAAAGGGGCAAUAAA